CCUACGGGAGGCAGCAGUGGGGAAUAUUGGGCAAUGGAGGAAACUCUGACCCAGCAAUGCCGCGUGAAUGAAGAAGGUCUUCGGAUUGUAAAGUUCUUUAGUUAGGGAAGAAGUCAAUGACGGUACCUGAAGAAUAAGCUUCGGCUAACUACGGGCCAGCAGCCGCGGUAAUGCGGCGGGAGCAAGCGUUGUUCGGAAUGACUGGGUGUAAAGGGUGCGUAGGCGGUUGUGCCAGUUAGAAGUGAAAUACCCAGGGCUUAACUCGGGUGCUGCUUCUAAUACUGUAUGACUUGAGUGCAGUCGAGGUUAGUGGAAUGCCUGGUGUAGCGGUGGAAUGCGUAGAGAUUAGGAGGAACACCAGAGGCGAAGGCGGCUAACUAGACUGCAACUGACGCUGAGGCACGAAAGUGUGGGGAGCAAACAGGAUUAGAUACCCCAGUAGUC
This 444-nucleotide ribosomal RNA is filed under the name uncultured bacterium. Its description in RNAcentral is "partial 16S ribosomal RNA". It matches the Rfam family "Bacterial small subunit ribosomal RNA", at positions 338 to 795 of the family's 1533-position model. The record is from RNAcentral.